This is a long non-coding RNA of Amphibalanus amphitrite, 638 nucleotides long. RefSeq lists it as uncharacterized. The transcript is spliced from 3 exons. Lineage: Eukaryota; Metazoa; Arthropoda; Thecostraca; Balanomorpha; Balanidae. The record is from RefSeq and is a predicted model, not a curated record.
GGGAGGCAUAUAUAACCCUUGGGCUGUGCGCAAAAGGCAUCAGUCUUGGACGAAACAGCGCCGUGCAACUUUCAACUCAGAUCGCAGCAAUGAAGAUCGUUCUGCUCAUGGCGUGCCUGGUGGCGGCGGCGGCGGCCGCCCCCCAGUUCCUUGGAUUUGGACGUGCCACCGGCAACUCGGGCGCCUUCAGCACCCAAGGGCAGUCCCGUGGACCAUUUGGAACAAGCCAGAUCCAAAACAGCAGAGCCUUCGCCCAAGGCUCCGCGUUCAAUGGUGGAUCGUCUUUCAACCGCGCCAACAGCAACGCGUUCCAGAGCACAGGGCCGUUCGGAGGCCGUCAGUCUGCCUUUAACCAGGCCACCAGCAAUCAGUUCGGUGGUGGAGGUUUCUUCAGGUGAUUUCUUCCCGUGAAGAGGAUGUAACAACGACGACGACAUUUCCAUAACGACCUAGCCUGUUGGUGUUAGCACCAUUGCACUGCUAUAGCGCAAACGAACGACGGUUCGGUACUUAAUGCGAUUUCAAUGUGCCACCCAGCAAGUACUAUGCUUUUAUGUUAUGACGCACAAAUAAUAUACAAUAAAUAAACGUUUGUUGGACAUAGUAGUGUGCAUUGAAAUACAAGCAGCUUGAGCUGG